Non-coding RNA from Spinacia oleracea (spinach), 84 nucleotides. Lineage: Eukaryota; Viridiplantae; Streptophyta; Magnoliopsida; Caryophyllales; Amaranthaceae. The record is from Rfam.
GCCUCUGAUGGUGAUGAAAACCAUAACUUUCAUUCUUCUGAGAUUUCAUGCAGAAUAUUUUGUGGAGACCUGAACUGAGGAGGA